GGCUUGGUGGUCUAGUGGUAUGAUUCGCGCUUAGGGAAAACCCUGUGGCAUAUAUAUGCGCGAGGUCCCGGGUUCGAUCCCCGGCCAAGCCC
Non-coding RNA from Hypoxylon sp. FL0543, 92 nucleotides. The record is from the annotation of a GenBank genome assembly. NCBI's taxonomy places the organism in Eukaryota, Fungi, Ascomycota, Sordariomycetes, Xylariales, Hypoxylaceae.